AUAAGCGGAGGAAAAGAAACCAACAGGGAUUGCCCUAGUAACGGCGAGUGAAGCGGCAACAGCUCAAAUUUGAAAUCUGGCGCAAGCCCGAGUUGUAAUUUGUAGAGGAUGCUUCUAGGUAGCGACCGGUCUAAGUUCCUUGGAACAGGACGUCAUAGAGGGUGAGAAUCCCGUAUGUGACUGGCCCGCACCUUCUACGUAGCUCCUUCGACGAGUCGAGUUGUUUGGGAAUGCAGCUCUAAAUGGGAGGUAAAUUUCUUCUAAAGCUAAAUACCGGCCAGAGACCGAUAGCGCACAAGUAGAGUGAUCGAAAGAUGAAAAGCACUUUGGAAAGAGAGUUAAAAAGCACGUGAAAUUGUUGAAAGGGAAGCGCUCACAACCAGACUUCUGGGCGGUGUUCCGCCGGUCUUCUGACCGGUCUACUCACCGUCCCGAGGCCAACAUCAUCUGGGACCGCCGGAUAAGACCUCAGGAAUGUAGCUCCCCUCGGGGAGUGUUAUAGCCUGUGGUGAUGCGGCGCGUCUCGGGUGAGGUCCGCGCUUCGGCAAGGAUGUUGGCGUAAUGGUUGUCAGCGGCCCGUCUUGAAACACGGACCAAGGAGUCUAACAUCUAUGCGAGUGUUCGGGUGUCAAACCCCUACGCGUAAUGAAAGUGAACGGAGGUGGGAAGGGUAACCUGCACCAUCGACCGAUCCUGAUGUCCUCGGAUGGAUUUGAGUAAGAGCAUAGCUGUUGGGACCCGAAAGAUGGUGAACUAUGCCUGAAUAGGGUGAAGCCAGAGGAAACUCUGGUGGAGGCUCGCAGCGGUUCUGACGUGCAAAUCGAUCGUCAAAUUUGGGUAUAGGGGCGAAA
Molecule: ribosomal RNA, 851 nt
Filed under: Ramularia glennii
Lineage: Eukaryota; Fungi; Ascomycota; Dothideomycetes; Mycosphaerellales; Mycosphaerellaceae
Description: eukaryotic LSU rRNA
Rfam family: Eukaryotic large subunit ribosomal RNA
Source: RNAcentral